Hypanus sabinus (Atlantic stingray) is the source of this 7925-nucleotide long non-coding RNA. RefSeq lists it as uncharacterized. The transcript is spliced from 3 exons. The record is from RefSeq and is a predicted model, not a curated record. Lineage: Eukaryota; Metazoa; Chordata; Chondrichthyes; Myliobatiformes; Dasyatidae.
GGCGCAAGGACAGGAUUGGUUACUUCAAGUGCUGGGUUUUAGAUGUUUCAGAAAGGACAGGGAGGGAGGCAAAAGAAGUGGGGGUGUGGUACUGUUGAUCAGAGAUAGCGUCAUGGCUGCAGAAAAGGUGGACACAAUGGAGGAAUUGUCUACAGAGUCUCUGUGGGUGGAGGUUAGGAACGGGAAGGGGUCAAUAACUUUACAGGGUGUUUUUUAUAGGCCGCCCAAUAGUAACAGGGAUAUCAUGGAGCAGACAGGGAAACAGCCUGGAAAGAUGUAAUAAUAACAAGAGUUGUCAUGAUGGGAGAUUUUAAUUUUCCAAAUAUCGAUUGGCAUCUCCCUAGAGCAAGGGGUUUAGAUGGGGUGGAGUUUGUUAGCUGUGUUCAGGAAGGUUUCUUGACACUAUGUAGAUAAGCGUACAAAAGAAGAGGCUCUACUUGAUUUGGUAUUGGGGAAAUGAACCUGGUCAGGUGUCAGAUCUCUCAAUGGGAGAGCAUUUUGGAGAUAGUGAUCAUAAUUCUAUCUCCUUUACAAUAGCAUUGGAAAGAGAGGAACAGACAAGUUAGAAAAGUGUUUAAUUGGAGUAAGGGGAAUUAUCAGGCUUAAAUUGGAAGCUUAAAUUGGAAAGAGAUGUUCUCAGGGAAAAGUAUGGAAGAAAUGUGGCAAAUAUUCAGCGGAUAUUUGUGUAGAGCUCUGUAUAGGUAGGUUCUAAUGAGACAGGGAAGCUAUGGUAGGGUACAGGAACUGUGGUGUACAAAGGCUGUAAUCUAGCCAAGAAGAAAAGAAAAGCUCACAGAAGGUUCAGAGAGCUAGGUAAAUGUUAGAGAUCUAGAACAUUACAAGCUAAUAGGAAGGAGCUUAAGAAGGAAAUUAGGAGAGCCAGAAGGGGCUAUGAGAAGUUAGGCAGGAUUAAGGAAAACCCCAAAGCAUUUUCCAAGUAUGUGAAGAGCAAGAGGAUAAGACGUGAAAGAAUAGGAUCAAGUGUGACAGUGGGAAAGUAUGUAUGGAACUGGAGGAAAUAGCAGAGGUACUUAAUACUUUGCUUCAGUGUUCACUAUGGAAACCAUCUUGGUGACUUCCAGCAGACUGAAAAGCUUGAGUAUGUAGAUAUUAAGAAAGAGGGUUUGCUGGAGCUUUUGGAAAGAAUCAAGUUGGAUAAGUCACCGGGACCGGAUGAGAUGUGGAAGGCAAGGGAGGAGAUUGCUGAGCCUCUGGAGAUGAUCCUGACAUCAUCAAUGGGGAUGGGAGAGGUUCCGGAGGAUUGGAGGGUUGCGGAUGUUGUUCCUUUAUUCAAGAAAGGGAGUAGCGAUAGCCCAGGAAAUAAUACACCAAUGAGUCUUACCUCAGUGGUUGAUAAGUUGAUGGAGAAGAUCCUGAGAGGCUUUAUGAACAUUUGGAGAGGUAUAAUAUGAUAUGGGAUAGUCAGCAUGGCUUUGUGAAGGGCAGGUCAUGUCUUAUGAGCCUGAUUGAAUUUUUUGAGCAUGUGACUAAACACAUUGAUGAAGGAAGAACAAUGGAUGUAGUGCAUAUGGAUUUCAGCAAUGCAUUUGAUAAGGUACCCCAUGGAAGGCUUACUGAGAAAGUAAGGAGGCAUGGGAUCCAAGGGGACAUUGCUUUGUGGAUCUAGAACUGGCUUGCCCACAGAAGUAAGAGUGGUUGUAGAUGGGUCAUAUUCUGCAUGGAGGUCGGUCAUCAGUGGAGGGCCUCAGGGAUCUGUUUUGGGACCCUUACUCUUCAUGAUUUUUAUAAAUGACCUGGAUGUGGAAGUGCAGGGAUGGGUUAGUAUGUUUGCUGAUGACACAAAGGUCAGAGGUGUUGUGGAUAGUGUGGAGGGCUGUCAGAGGUUACAGCGGGACAUUGAUAGGAUGCAAAACUGGGCUGAGAAGUGGCAGAUGGAGUUCAACCCAGAUAAGUGUGAAGUGGUUCAUUUUGGUAGGUCAAAUAUGAUGGCAGAAUAUAGUAUUAAUGGUAAGACUCUUGUUGGUGUGGAGGAUCAGCGGGAUCUUGGGGUCUGAGUCCAUCGGACGCUCAAAGCAGCUGUGCAGGUUGACUCUGUGGUUAAGAAGGCGUACAGUGUAUUAGCCUUCAUCAAUUGUGGAAUUGAAUUUAGGAGCUGAGAGGUAAUGUUGCAGCUAUAGAGGAUCCUGGUCAGACCCCACUUGGAGUACUGUGCUCAGUUUUGGUCGCCUCACUACAGGAAGGAUGUGGAAGCCAGAGAAAGGGUGCAGAGGAGAUAUACAAUGAUGUGGCCUGGAUUGGGGAGCAUGCCCUAUGAGAAUAGGUUGAGUGAACUCGACCUUUUCUCCUUGGAGCGGCGGAGGAUGAUGGGUGAUCUAAUAGAGGUGUACAAGAUGAUGAGAGGCAUUGAUCAUGUGGAUAGUCAGAGGCUUUUUCCCAGGGCUGAAAUGGUUGCCACAAGAGGACACAGGUUUAAGGUGCUGAGCAGUAGGUACAGAGGAGAUGUCGGGUAAGGUUUUACUCAGAGAAUGGUGAGUGCGUAGAAUGGGCUGCCGGCAACAAUGGUGGAGGUGGAUACGAUGGGGUCUUUUAAGAGAGUUUUGGAUAGGUACAUGGAGCUUAGAAAAAUAGAGGGCUGUAGGUAAGCCUAGUAAUUUCUAAGGUUGGGACAUGUUCGGCACAACUUUAGUCCAAAAACAUAGAAAACCUGCAGCCCACAAAGAGGAUUAAGGCACAGUGAUUCUGGAGUUUAAGACUCUGGAUAUGUGAGAUGUUGGGGGCCAAUAUUGGAGGAACAUGGAGAGUGUUAUUCUGGAGGCUGCUAUGGAGAAGGGCUAAGCUGUUCUGAAAAUUUGAGGGAUUGCUGAACUGAGGGUAAAUGGGCAAAGGCACUGACACCAGUUGAUUUAAUUCAAUUUUAAUGCUUUUUAGAGCUGUUAGUGCACAGAUGGUGUCUAUCCAGCCCACCAGAUGGAUACAAGCUGUAUGUCAAGCAAUCCAGCCUGUCCAGCUCUUUCCCAGCACUCUAAUUUUCUUUUGGAAGCCCUGCGUGACUCCUGGUAAUUAAAGCAGAUGUUAAUUUUCCAACAUCCCUGCAUUAUCCUCGUCAGCACCACAAGAGGCUUUUGUCUGAUUGGACAGCGGAAAGUAGGCAACCACUGGACAGAGUGGUUUGACAAGAACGAGGCCCAUCUUGCGUCUGUUGGUGCUUCCACCUCUCGAAGUUCAUGGUCCUCAAAAUAAUUGCCACCCACCCCUCUGAGCAUGCUGGUCCAGCAGCAGGGAACAACGGCAUGUCAAAGUGGCCCCAGACUGAACCUCAGGUGUUGGAGAGGACCACUUGUUGAGAUAUCACCAAUGUAAGAUCAUAUCAGGCUACCUCCCUGCCCAGUUGUCCCCCUUCUCCCCUCCUCAGUUUGCUGGUCCACACCAUUCUCCCUCCUUUUGCUAACCGAAUCGCCCCACUGAUUCCCACCCCUUCUCUACCUUCCAAACACCAACUCCUUCCCCUCCCCACAGCAUUCUCUCCUUUACUUUCCAAUCUUCCUCUCCUUCCCCAAACUCCCUAUACUCAUUUAGAACAUAGUCCCUUCAGCCACAAUGUUGUCACAAUCUGUUAACCUGUUCCAAGAUCAAUCUAACCCUUUCCUCCUACAUAACCAUUUUUCUUUCAUCCCUGUGCCAAUCUCAGUCUUUUAAAUGUCCCUAAUAUAUUUGUUUUUACCAUCACUUCUUGUUCCAGACACCCGACACCCUGUUUAAAAGGACAAAAAAGUUCUGAUCACCCACCCCUGCUAUACCUGAAAAUGAUGGCCCGAGCAUUAGCCAUACUGACCUUGGGGGAAAAAGUCUGGCAAAUCAUAUCCAUUCUACCUACAGUAUGCUUCUUAUCAUCUUGUACACCUUCAUUAAGUCACCUCUCAUCCUCCUUUGGUCCAAAUGGAAAAGCCCUAGCUCGCUCAGACUAUCCUCAUAAGAAAUACAUAAUGAAUACUUCUGUUUGGUAUUCACCAAUGAAAGGGAGUUUGAUGAUGGUGAGGACAAUAUGAGUGAGGUUGAUGUUCUGGAGCAUGUUGAUAUUAAGGGAGAGGAGGUGUUGGAGUUGUUAAAAUACAUUAGGACGGAUAAGUCCCUGGGGCCUGACAGAAUAUUCCCCAGGCUGCUCCACGAGGCAAGGGAAGAGAUUGCUGAACCUCUGGCUAGGAUCUUUAUGUCUUCAUUGUCCACGGGAAUGGUACCGGAGGAUUGGAAGGAGGCGAAUGUUGUCCCCUUGUUCAAAAAAGGUAGUAGGGAUAGUCCAGGUAAUUAUAGACCAGUGAGCCUUAUGCCUGUGGUGGGAAAACUGUUGGAAAAGAUUCUUAGAUAUAGGAUCUAUGGGCAUUUAGAGAAUCAUGAUCUGAUCAGGGACAGCCAGCAUGGCUUUGUGAAGGGCAGAUCGUGCCUAACAAGCCUGAUAGAGUUCUUUGAGGAGGUGACCAGGUAUAUAGAUGAGGGUAGUGCAGUGAAUGUGAUCUACAUGGAUUUUAGUAAGGCAUUUGACAAGGUUCCACAUGGUAGGCUUAUUCAGAAAGUCAGAAGGCAUGGGAUCCAGGGAAGUUUGGCCAGGUAGAUUCAGAAUUGGCUUGCCUGCAGAAGGCAGAGGGUCGUGGUGGAGGGAGUACAUUCAGAUUGGAGGGUUGUGACUAGUGGUGUCCCACAAGGAUCUGUUCUGGGACCUCUACUUUUCAUGAUUUUUAUUAGCUACCUGGAUGUGGGGAUAGAAGUUUGCAGAUGACACAAAGGUUGGUGAUGUUGUGGAUAGUGUUGAGGAUUGUCGAAGAUUGCAGAGAGACAUUGAUAGGAUGCAGAAUUGGGCUGAGAAGUGGCAGAUGGAGUUCAACCCAGAGAAGUGUGAGGUGGUCACUUUGGAAAGACAAACUCCAAGGCAGAGUACAAAGUAAAUGGCAGGAUACUUGCUAGUGUGGAGGAGCAGAGGGAUCUGGGGGUACAUGUCCACAGAUCCCCAAAAGUUGCCUCACAGGUAGAUAGGGUAGUUAAGAAAGCUUAUGAAGUGUUAGCUUUCAUCAGUCGAGGGAUAGAGUUUAAGAGACACGAUGUAAUGAUGCAGCACCAUAUAACUCUAGUUAGGCCAGACUUGGAGUACUGUGUCCAAUUCUGGUCGCCUCACUAUAGAAAGGAUUUGGAAGCAUUGGAAAGGGUACAGAGGAGAUUUACCAGGAUGCUGCCUGGUUUAGAGAGUAUGGAUUAUGAUCAGAGAUUAAGGGAGCUAGGGCUUUACUCUUUGGAGAGGAGGAGGAUGAGAGGAGACAUGAUAUAGGUGUACAAGAUAUUAAGAGGAAUAGACAGAAUGGACGGCCAGCACCUCUUCCCCAGGGCACCACUGCUCAAUACAAGAGGAUAUGGCUUUAAGGUAAGGGGAGGGAGUUCAAGGGGGAUAUUAGAGGAAGGUUUUUCACUCAGAGAGUGGUUAGUGCGUGGAAUGCACUGCCUGAGUCAGUGGUGGAGGCAGAUACACUAGUGAAGUUUAAGAGACUACUAGACAGGUAUAUGGAGGAAUUUAAGGUGGGGGGUUAUACAGGAGGCAGGGUUUGAGGGUCGGCACAACAUUGUGGGCCGAAGGGCCUGUAAUGUGCUGUACUAUUCUAUGUUCUAAAACAUCCUGGUAAAUGCUCUCUCCACGUCCUUCCUAUAAUAGGAUGAUCAGAACAAUGCUUUGCUUCCCCUUCCAUUCAGAGACAAUCCCCAGCUUGCCAAUCCUUUCUUCUCUCUUCCACCCCUGGCCUACCCUGUCCCUCCCAAAUCAGCCCUUCCCAUUGCCUACCCUCUCAUUUAUCCAGAGGGUGGGAAGAAUGUGGAACUCAUUCCAGCUGAAUUGAAUGUGAGGGCAAAUUGGAUAACAGCAAUUUCACAUUGACAAAGUUUGCAUUUUCAUAUAGGAGGCCAUUUGGCCCAAUACACCAAUUCUAGCUGAAUGCCACCCCCAUCCCCAACUUAUUUUCCCUGCACCCAAGUCUUUCCAUCUGUUCUACCACCUGCUACACAAGGGGCAAUUUACAGUUAUGGUUCUGGGAUUGAAUGGCGUAGUUCUGGGAUGUUGGAAUUCCCCAAGGAAACCCAUGGGAAACUCCACGCAGGCAGCAGGAUCAAAGCUGGCUCACUGGAGUGAUGAAGCAGUGGCUCUAUUGGCUGCAGCACUGCUGGGAGGGCAAGGGAGAUGAGGCGUGGUUCUCAAACCAACCUCUGGUCAAACCGCAUCAUCAGAAGCUCAAUGAAAGAGGGUGGUGUUAUAGGUGGCCUGAGGGAGAGGGAGUCGAAGGUGUUCUGGGAGUAGAGUUUAAUUAUAGUUGAAGGGGGAGUCAGAGAGGUUGGUGAUGUUAGAGCUGAGACUAGGCUCUUAAUGCUGGGGAGAGGUAUCUGUGGUAAGGGCAGGAGGGUGCCAAGUGAGGAUUCCUCAGCUCUGUGCCAGUCAUAACAGCAGGGCAGAGGUUUAAUGGGGUGAGGCAUCUGGUAAGGGUGGGAGAGGGCCAGACAUACCAUGCUUGGUGCUGUUGUUUGACAGGUGUGUUGAACCAAGCCUCUGUGUGUUCAAAGGACGACACCCAGCACACCAUGAAAGCUCCAAGGAAGCAGCCAAUGAAAUCCAAGCGAAGGCUGGAGCACCUAAGAGCAUAGGCAUCAGAUUUGCUGUUGAAAUAUCUACCAGAAUCCAUGAUGCUCAGUUUAUCUCAGGCAAAGCCUCUUCAUUGAGCACACUUACAAGGGGAGCAGCACACAUCAUCAAGGACCCCCACCAUUCAGGCCUUGCACUCUACUUGCUGCUCUCAUACAGUAGGAGGUACGGGAGCCUUGUGAACCAUAACAGUUAUUACCCUUCAACCAUCAGGCAUUUGGACCAGCGUGGAUAACCUCAUUCACCUCAGCUCUGAACCAAUUCCACAACCUACAGACUAAUGUUUGGACUCAACAAGUUAUGUACUCAAUAUUAUUUAUUUAUAUUAUUUGCACAAAUUGUCUUCUAUUGCACAGUGACUGUUUGUCAGUCUUUGUUAUUUAUACUUUUUAAUAAACCAUGACAUUAUUUCAUUUUCCUGUAAAUACCCAUAGGGGGCUGAUGACACCAGCUUAUUUGACAGCAGUGUUGGGAAUAGCUGUGGUGGAGAUAUUGCUGCCUGUCCCUACUGAUUGUGGUCUGUUAUCCAGGAAGUCCAGCAUCCAAUUGUAGAGGGUGUCAUAGACUCCUAAUUCAGAGGUUGCUUGAAAUUAGAGUACUGAACACAGAGUUGCAGUCUGACAUAGGUGUCUCGACUGUCCAGAAGCUCCAGAAACAAGUGUCAAGACAAGGAGAUGACAUCUGCCUUAUUCCUGUUUCAGCAGUAGGUGAAUUGCAGUAGGUCGAGGUUGUCUGGGCAGUUGAUGGUGUUGGGCUGUGUGUUUGAAUUGCAGUGGGUCGAGGUUGUCUGGGCCGUUGAUGGUGUUGGGGUGUGUGCGUGAAUUGCAGUGGGUCGAGGUUGUCUGUGCCGUUGAUGUUGAUUGUGUCGGGGUGUGUGGGUGAAUUGCAGUGGGUCAAGGUUGUCUGGGCCAUUGAUGUUGAUGGUGUUGGGUUGUGUCGGUGAAUUGCAGUGGGUCGAAGUUGUCUGGGCCAUUGAUGGUAUUGGGGUGUGUGGGUGAACUGCAGUGGGUCGAAGAUGUCUGGGCAGUUGGUGGUGUUCGGGUGUAUGGGAGAAUUGCAGUGGUUCGAGGUUGUCUGGGCCAUUGAUGGUAUUAGACAAUAGACAAUAGGUGCAGAAGUAGACCAUUCGGCCCCUCGAGUCUGCACUGCCAUUCUGAGAUCAUGGCUGAUCAUUCACUAUCAAUACCCAGUCCCUGCCUUGUCCCCAUAUCCCUUGAUUCCCCUAUCCAUCAGAUAUCUAUCCAGCUCCUUCUUGAAAGCAUCCAGAGAAUUGGCCUCCACCGUCUUCCGAGGCAGU